RNAcentral lists this long non-coding RNA (31184 nucleotides) under Marmota monax (woodchuck). The record is from RNAcentral. Lineage: Eukaryota; Metazoa; Chordata; Mammalia; Rodentia; Sciuridae.
CCUGAACUUUGGACACACAGAGGGCCAAGUGCUGAGAGACCCCAACCAUAAAAUGAGAGGUAUGCCUCCAUCAUCCCCAGCUUUCUUCCAGGUGCGAUGUUCAACCCUGGCUUCUUGCUCCUGUUCUGAGGGUAUCAGCUCUUUGAUGGGUAGGAAGUUGGCCUAGGGAAUUUCUACUUCAAGGAAAAUUCCAUAUCUUUGGGACUUUCCUUCUAUCUCUUGGACAGAAGCCAUCAUUUGAGGGAUUUACAAUCCUCCCAUGGUGCACCUCACCAACAGUCCUCUGUUUCUUCACACCUGUGUUUCUUCCUCUCCAAAGACACUUGUCUCUCACUGCCCCCAAUUCAGCUCCCACUUCUGGGCAGAAGCAUCUUCUAAUGCUAACAUCCCCUGGUAGGCCUUAUAUUACCAGGUGGAGUAGCAUUUCAGUAGGAUCCAAUGGGAGAGCAGAAGUCUCAGGCUGAGGGUGGAAAUCCAGGCACAAUGACAGUUGGGAGGAGAGAUCCAGAUUUCAGUCACCUACCUUGAGGGUCUCUGAGAUGCUCCAGCACAUUGUAGAUGCAGCUGCCAGCUUACAUUGCUUGACCAGGAUGCUGUGGUGUCCACACACUCUUCGUUUCUCAUCUGCAUCCUGCCUUCAAAGUUCAGAGGGGCCUGGAAUGGUCUCAUAGGGAGUGGGGUUCCUGUUGCCAUGGUUGCCCCAUGGGUCACAAAGCUCAGUUCAAGGCUGAUAGGACUCUUGGGGAAGCUUGUUGCUAGGCUUGCUGACUGCCACAGCCUGGACUGCAGAUCUACCCCUGGUGGUGUGAAGGGUGUGUACAAGUCUUUCUGGCCUUGGGGCGGGGUUUGUGUAUGUGUUCUAGAAGCUCGGGUCUGGAGGGGACUUUUAUUGGCAUCAAGUGGCCUGUUCUCUUGUGGACUUCUCUGCAAUGUCAGUCACUGUCUCCCUUUGGCAUGGACAGGUAUAUGGGGGGUUAGUAAGACACGAGGAUAACUGUAUUCAAGCUCACUUUCACUACUUUAGGAUUCAAGACAAAAUCACUCUCUUAACCUCAGGCUUCUUCUGUAUUGUUGCUUCUAACAAUACAGAAAUACCCCAAUACAGGGCCUGACAAACAGCACACAUGGAGCCUCACUAUCCUGCUCUCAUCAUGUUUUUAGGGGGAGCAAAUAGCACUACUGGAAUGAUGUUGUCAACAGCCAAUCAGAAAGCUCAUGGACUGAUCCAACAAAAGGUGAGAUUUUGAAGGACCAGCUGGUGUCCUGGGACGUGGGAUAAACUUAUAAUAGGUGCACCAUUUUGUCUUCUAAAUUGUCUUCUAGCCAAAUUUCAGGAGCCACAUCAAGUUCUCUGGAGCAUUGGAACUUUUUGUUUGUAACUCAAAAUUCAACCUUACUGAGGCCUGGCAAAGGGUCUUCUCCUGGUGUCCUCGUCCAAGGGCUGAGACCACAAGGGGAAUUAUGAAAAGUACAGGAAGUUCUUACCCACUUGUCCUCAUCCUGAUGUGUCUUAAGGAGAAACCCAGUGGCUCGCAGGAGCACUGUCUCAUCUUUGCGUCUUCUGCUAGGAGAAUGAAGACAAGAUUUCUGGCAUCUCAUCAAAAAUUAGUAGACUUUAAUUUGGUAACAAGUGCAUCAGCCAGAUGAUAUGGGAUGAAAUAUAAAGUGUAGAAUAUCCUAUGCUGGCAUGGAGACAAUAUGUUGUGUAGGAGUGUGUGUCCAUACAUAUGUGUGCAUGUACAUAUGUUUCCUCUUGGGUCAGUGAAUUUUAGAUGCCAAACCCAGUAGAGUUAAUGGGUCUUGAUGCACGUUGGUCAAUCAGAUAUGUUCUCUCUCCCCAUGUAUACCUAUAUAUUUUAUAUAGCUUCAUACAUUACAUAUGUGUCCCUUGCUGGUUUUCCACAGGGGCUCAGUGAAGGGCCUGGGUUUCCAGAGAAAGCCAGUGGAACACCCCAGCCAGAAGGUCACAGAGGUCUCCUUAGGGGAAGAGAACCCAGAUCAUGUACCUUUUUUUCUCAGCAAAAGGAGCAGGAAGUUAGGAACUUGAAACAGGGGUGGAGAUGCUACAGAGCCAGAAAUUGGAGCUUCUGGAGUUAUCCUUUAUGGGGAAGAUGGCAUCACUGGCUUGAAGGUGCAACUCUGGAACCUGGAAUACAGCAAGCUUGAGCAAAAGAAAAUCCAGAACUAGCAGGAAAAUACCAUCAAGCAGCUAAAGCUAAAAGUUGAGGGAUGAGCCCUGUUGGGGGGCCAAUACACUGUCAUUUGCUGGCUGAAAUGUAGAGUGCUGUCAUAUGGCACCUCCUCUGCUGCAUCUCAUUCUUCCAUGGCUUUGUAUUACCUCAGAAAAGCUCUUAAACCUGAAGUUCAGAACUUUCAUGAUCUAGACCUGUCCUGCCAUCCUGCAAGGUCAAGGUUCUCUAGUAUUUUUGUAAGGGAAAUGUGAGUUCUGUCCCCAUUCUAGAGAGAUGGGAGUUGAAGUUUGGAGAUACAGAAAACAUGGCAGGGGUGAGAUUUGGAAGAGGACUCUUCUGACUCCUGAGAGCCUUGGAUAAUGACUUUGGGCACAGCCUCCAGGAAGACUUGCAUGCCCAUCUUUGAAAAAUAGAAACUAACAAAAAAGUCUAAGGAACUAGUCAGGACUAUCCAAUACUCUAGAGCAGCACUCUCAACGAAGCAGAUGAAUAUAUUUUUUCUGCUGGCUUAUGUUUACAUCUACCUCAUUCCAAUAAGCAUAGGAAACAGCUUCUAAAACAUAUGCAUAAUAAUAAUAAUAGUAAUAAUAAUAAUAAUAAUAAUAAUAAUAAUAAUAAAAUUCUAAGUAAAACAUUCUGGACCAUAAAAGUAUGAAUAAAAUUAGACACUAAAAAGAGGGUUGGGACAGUGAACCAAUAUGUGAUAGGCAAAACAUAUGUUCUUACACAUAUAACAGUUUUUUCUCUAAAAUUCCUGGUGGCCAGAGAGAAAAAGGAAAUGUGAGGUCUACAUUUUUUCCUUAUCCCCAAGAUAAAAACCCAAAACAAACAAAACAGAUUUUCAAGAAGUGACUUCUGAGGCUCAGUACAAAAAGCAUUUUUUCAUGUACAAUUUGCAAAAGGUGAUUAUGUUUAAAAAGGCUGGGAGCCUCUUAUGCAACAAAAUGUGACUGAGCAACAUGAAUAUGUAAAGCAGUUGACCUCUAAGCAGCUCCAUGAAAGCCAUGGUGCCAGUUCAUGCUUCUCACCCACUCUUACUGUAUCAGGCAGGACAGAGCUUCCUGAGUGGGCAUGUUGGGUCUGAAGAUUCUUGGACUCUCAUUAAGGAGAGUGAGGAAAACCGAGCUCAUAUUUAUUCAACCAUAGGCAUUGAGUUCUUCUUUGUCAGAUGCCAUGUGGAUGUUGAGGAUGCAGAGGCAGAAAGGAUCUCUGCUUUCCCCAAAGUAACAGUCCCGCUAGAUGUCAUAAGAAUGUUGAACUUGCAGAAUGUAGUCUUGGCAGAAGGGUUGGGGAAGAGGUCAGGAAGAUGCCCUGGAGGAAAUGAUACUUACCUGCUGCCCCUGGCCUGCAGGGACAGCUGAACUGAAGGUUGCUCAUGUGAAUUUCCAAGGACAUCAAAUAAAAGGUAGGCACACAUUUUACCUUUAAACAAACUUCAGGAUGGCUCCUCUGCUCUCAGGAUCAAACUCCUCAAAUGGGAGAGUGAGGGAAUUUCAUGAGAGGCUGGACAGAGAGAGAGAGAGUAAGCAAAUUCAGAUGUUGGCUUUUAUUGGGAGGGCCCUCAUUCUUAGAAAGUUCCAUCCAAAAAAAGGUAAAAAAAGGUAAGAAGGUGGGAGUUAGAAAGAACAUGUGAGAGAAAUUUGACCCAAGGGCUGUAGGGUGAUGCCUAAGUUUGAAGACACGUCCUCAAACUUCCAGGACCAGGGCAAUGUCCAAGUUACCAUGAGAUGUAGUGAAAGUAAAAGCCUCUCUGCUCUGGAUGGAAAACACAAAUCAUUCAGAGUGACACCCCACAUUUACUGAAGCAGAAAGCUGAGGGAUGAGUCAGAAUUGGUAGAAUGCUAGAGUUCCAUUCGGGGCAAAGAGCUUGUGCAAAAACCUGAUGGCCAGAAAAUCAUGUGACAUUUAACAAGUCCUAAUAUGGCCAUGUCCAGAUGGAGGCUUUGAGGCAGCUUGGUGUCUGUAUGACCUUACAGAAGGCCCUGUAUUCCCAAGACAUGAAUCUCCUCCCAUGUGCAGCAAAAUAAGGAACUUUUUCAAUCCCCUAAUUGCCUCUAAUCCAGCUCUGAAACUGUGAACAUCCCUGCAGAAUGUGGAAUGUCUGGGGAGUUAUGAAAGGGACAUGGAGGACCAUACAGCAUCAUGUAGCAACCCACUGUUCUGUAAAUGAACAGGAUCAUUGCAGAGGAAGGAAUAAAACAAGCACUUUUGUAAAUUGCAUUGGUUCUUUGAGACACCACCAGGGCUCCAUUCAGCUCUCAGAAGCAGAAAGGUUCCACCAUGACUCAGGAAAGUGGAAGGUAAAGCCCCUUCUUAGUUUCCCGCCCUGGACCACCAGAGGGGAGGCUGACUUACACUUUCAUCUGUCUUUAGCUUAAACCCUAGCUUCACACUUCAUUGUGUCCUUGGAGACCUCUUGUGGAUAUUUAUUGAUUAACAGCAUUUUUUCCAGGGAUUUUUAUGUUAACUCAUAUGAGCUUGACAUAAAUGAUACUGCAGAUAUCAGAAAUGUCCCAGAGGCUUGGAAAAAAAUGAAAAAGAAAUAUUCUAUUAACUUGAGUAGGCUCCUCAUUUUAUAUUCUUCUCAUAACCUUUGUCAUUUUAAAGGUGGGAAGGAAGGGGGUUAAUAUUUAAAGUGUGCCUACAAUGCUGGGGACUGUAAUGUGGUUCUGAUGUCCAGGAUCAUUUUUACUCUUCGCCAGUCCUACAUAGAGAUGAACAUUCUCAACAUUUUGAAAGACUAAGAUUGUGUUUUUCCAACUUAAUUUUCAUGGUAAGGCAGCAGUUUUGAACUUAUGGAGCAGGGAUGAGCUUGGGUUCAUCUUAAGAAUGUUAACAAGUGUUCUGAGGCUGCAUCUAACCUCAGGUGGAGAAUGUGAUGGGCUCCAGAUGUCUGUUUUAAGCAUAGAUAGGGAGGGAGAUUUGGGACUAUUUAUCUAACAUUUCCAGGGCUCCCAGGGAGAUAACUUGACUCUCUUCAGUGCAUUAUAAUGAAAAAUGUGAUGGGGAUGCCACAGAUAGCAGGGAGAGGCAAUGGAGAGGCACUGGGCCACCCUCAUGUCCAGUACUUGCUUGUUGCCCCCAGCUCUGCCAGUGGUUUGAGCUGGAAAUAAAGAGGAUAAAUCAGAUGCAUCAGAAAGACCAUGAAGACCAAGAGGAGGAGCUAGAAGUCCAUCAGUCCUGCCAGAAAUAGGUUUGUGAACCACCACACACCUGUGCUCAGGGUCCUGGCAGGUUACACCAGGCUGCCCUCAUCCCUGCAGUUGAGGAGUAGAACCGGGCCUGGGGUCUGGGGACAGGCUCUUUCUAAAGCCUCCUGAGACUUUGGAUCCCUAGGUAAAUUCAAGGGUAUAGUCCUGGAAGUAUCUAUAUUCAAUAUGAGACUGGAACUUCCAGAAGUCUCUGGGACAUUCCAGCAUCAUCACCCCAAGAUCACUACCAAGAGCCCAUUAUGCCUUAUGACUUUUGUGGGGAAGGAAUUAUUGCUUUUAAUAAUGCUCCCCCUAACUAUUUCCCCUGCUGCUCAAAUCAUUUCAGCUGAGGGUGGUGAAGCACAUAAAGCUCCUCAGUGGGUUAUGGGAAGCUUGAGAUUGAAAACUCACAAAUAACUCUGGCAGGAUGCCCUUCCAUCCAGAGAAAGCCAAUACUGGUGACAGCUUGAAACUCCCAGAGUAAACACUAAAGGGAUCUCUAGGUAUGUUAGGUGUCUGUGUUGGUUUGGACUGGUCAAAGGUGAACAGUUUUACACUGUGAAAUCAGUAAAAGGCCUAGAAUUGUCCCCAGAACAGCUAAGCAAUGAAGACAAACUCAAAAAAUUGGAGAGUCUUGAAAUCAAAAUUCAUAGAAAGCAGCCCAAACAUGAAUAAAACUAGAGUUUUUGUGAGCACAUGAGCUGUUUUUUUUUUUUUUUUUGGUUUUGUUUUGUUUUUCUGGCUUCCAUACGGAGUGAAAAGACUGAGUCCACAGAGUACCAGCCCCUCCCUGAACCCCUCAGCCAGAGGCAGGGUAGUACCUGUGCUGUAUUCUCAGCAACUGUCCCCUCCAGUGUUCCCAGAGGAAGUACAGGAGAAUACAUAAGACAUGAUUCCAAAUCUGCCACCACCUGCAGAUGCUCAUCCAGGAAAGUUGCCUCCCAGAAGUUUCCCUUCUGUCCCCACAGGCCCAACCAGGACAUCAGACAGCUCUCUGACAGAACUUGGGCUGGGGCAUGGGCAGAGGUAUUUCUGCCAUUGCAAGAACUCCUAGCUCUCAAAACUUACACCAUUCACUGUCACCAGAACAAGCCUAGACAGAAAUGCAAGCUCAAACCAUCACUUCCACAGGAGAGGACAGAGUGUCCUAUCCCAGGUGCAGGGAGUGAGAUCCUGGUGCAUACCUGCAGGACCAGUCCUGUGCUGCACCAUCUAUUGCCUAUCGCCUCACUUCCUACUUCAGAUCCCCCUGAGUGGCUCCCACCAAUAACCCUACUUCACCCUUGGUGGCACAUGAGGUACUGAUAUUGGGACAUGAGCAAAGGCCCACUUUGCCAAAGGAUAGCACCCCAAGGUGGCACAGGCAGCAUGUUACUGUACCAGAGGUGCAGGUACCAUUAGGCAAACACCCAUGUAUGUCACCCUAAUCCCCACCUGCUCCAUACCCCAAAAGUCUCUCUCUACCAGCUAGCCAGAGGCUGCUCAGCUCUUCCACUGCCCCCCACCUCCACCAAACACAAGUCCACCAGUGUGGGCAUUUUGCCCACCCCUGGUGAGGGGCCAUGCUGCACCAACCUGAGGUGAGGGAUCCCUGCCAUAGCCAUAGAUGCUGACCCUCAAACUCAACAUCUACAACCCUUUAAAAAUGAUUGUGAAACCUUAAUGAGUCAGUUGGUGGACCAGUGAGAUCUGGACCCACAGCCCCAUUGCCAGAGCUCCAUAGUUCCACCAGAACCCACACUCGCACUAGGCACACAGUUCCCCUGCUUAUAUCUCCUGCAUCUGGUGCACACACACACAGACAUUGAAAGUUCAUGUGUGUCCCUUCCCUGCCUAGUGCCAUGUGUCAAUGUUUUUCUGCAGUGCCCAGGGAUUGUCUAUUCUUUCUCUUCAAAGCUGUGUCCUGGGAACAGGUCUGUUAUUACUGUUAUGCCUGAAGCCAUGUUAGAAGCAGCAGAAGGACCCUUUGUGCUCUUCUUUGUGGUUCAUGAAUCCCGCCUUCCAUAACCAUUGCCAUGGGUACUUCCCAGGUCAAGCUUUGUUCCUUACCCCUGCUCUGGGCUCUAGGUGUCAGGGACCUGUCAAAAGGGUCCAGCAUGAAGCCUGCUCACAGCACCACUGAAUUCCCUACACUGUUUGGCCACUCUGGGCUGCCUGGACCUGCAGAAACAAUCGCAGGUCAUGCUGCUGCCAUCCUGAAAUUGUACAUUGUCAGUUGAGAAAAGUUGCCUCCCAGGUGCUUGUCUCAGGACCAUCAGACUCUUAAAUCAUUUCUGUGAGACAUGGACAUUACCUCCAUCUUCUGCAUGCUUGUUCUCCUGAAGAAGAUGCUGCUGUCCACUGUACCUAUCAUUGAUUCCUGUAGCUUAGACCACAAACUCAGCAAACAGAUGCAUUUUAUGGCACAGGAGAAUGAAGUUGCUCCUUGCCAGCUUGCAGCACCAUGGGCUACCCAAGAACCCUGCCCAGAGAAGCCUGGAAAUAGUGGUCAAGGGGUGGCUGAGCAAGCAGAAGACCCUGCAGAUAAAGAACAACAGAGGGGGAGCCCCUGUGUCACUGGAGGAACACAACCAGCCAUUAGGCCCUUGGUGGCCCACAGUCGCCUGCAUUCCUUUGUGCCCAGGCCUGGGUCCUGCAGAAAAACCUCUGCACCCAAAGUUCCCAAGACAGAGCUAAGAGUGAGCAUUCCCCUCCCCCAGGCCUACUGUAUGAGUUCCUGUUCCAAGAGAAAUGCCAACAUCAGCUCCUCCAGCUCCACUUAAGGUCUCCUAACCCUGAAGAGGAGGGCUUCAGGCCCAUCCAACUUGGAGCUGCAUCUGGGAUGCUGAUGCUCUUCAUCCCCAGGGAUUCCCCUGAAGAAGGCACAGUGUGAGGAAGUGGCAGAAGGCCAGAUGGGGUAGCCAUUAUAGAGGAAGAAGUGCUCAUCCAUGGGGGACAGUGGUAGGCUACCAAUAUUAAUGUUUCCUCUGCUGCCACAACACCAGGGAAACCUCUGAUGCUGCCAUCAUCUCAACAACUCACCUGUCCAGUCACCUCUGAGGACUUAGACGAGAAAAAGGAGAAAGCUCUACAUCACAUCAACUGCCUUCUGAUGGUUGAGACCCAGGUCACCUGGGAUAGCUGUAAUAUGACCUAUGAAGCCCCUAUAUGAGCCCCUUGUACAUGGGGAGGGUCCAGGCCUCUGGCUAUACUGGGCCUCAGCUAGACCUUUCCCCAACACCCCAGCACCUCCACUAUGGCAGCCUCCACCCAUAUGUGGGUGGGCAAUGCUCUUUCCUCCCAGAGACAUCCUUCAACCUCCAAACUCUGCAUCCCGUUCUUCCCCAGCCUGCCAAUUGCUGCUUUGGACCUUCCUCCCAGCCCCUCUCCCUGCACAUUGGCAGGCUUGGCUCCAUGGCCAGCAGCUCCCUUUGGGGUUACCCUCAUGAACACUAUAUGCCUUCAUGCCCUCCAAUGUGAACGUCUAGAGCGUUCGGGUCCCUGGGUAAGGGUCGCGAAAUAACCAGGACACAGGGGAUACAGAGCAAAGGCAGCAAUUGCAACUGCAUGCUGAGGUUUAUUUGCAAGUUCCUUUUAUCUACUUCUUGUAACAAAGCAAGCAAUUCUUCAAUAUCACGUUACCCACAUUGCCCAAAUAUCAUGCCUCAGCGGAUACACAGAGCUAAAUUCAGAUCGUUCCUGUUUAGUUGGUAAGUACCCUCUUAAAGUUCUUUGUAGACAUUAUCUAAUCCCCUGAGGAUGCAUUUUUUUCUUUAGAAUGUACUGUUCCCAGGAUAAGUAUGCAGGAAGCUUCUUCCUCUUGGCCAAACCAUGCAGAACUUGUGACUUGCGAUAAGGGGAAGAGAACUUUUCCUCCUCCUAACUGAGGUUUGCCUCAGCUGACCUAAAUCACAACCACAGCUCUUGCAAAAUGUCAGGCCUGAGGGAGCUAAACUCUGCACACUCAAACCCCAACACUCCAAUCUGGAGCCUCCAUCUAGUUCAGGUUGGAUCUCCCUCCCCUCACAUCAUGGCCCAGACCCCAGCAGAACCCAAAGCACCUUUCAAUUAGAGAGCUCCAUCCAGGCAGCUUGAAGGGUGUGGCAACAAGCUCCACACAGGAAGCAGCCUCUCAUCCCUGGAGUCAUGAUCCCACCAAUUCCUGGGGUUCAUGAUGAGAAAAGCACAGAGCCCCCACCUUUGUCAGCUGUUAGUAGUUUGGGCACGUGGGAGCUCCAGGUCCUGGGCAGUCCAAUUCCCACUCUUGACAGGAGGUCCCACAACCUUGUGCAGCCCAAACCACUCAGGCCUUGGAAUGGCAAACACAAAAAUCCCACUGUGGGUGCACAUGCUAGCACACAGAUGCAUUCUGCUGACAGCCAGGCUUCCAGGCCCACUGGUGCAUCUAGAGCAUCAGCCUCUGCCUCUGUAGCUGCCACCCAGAGGCUAGAGCCUGCAGCUAGUAUUUGUCCCAAGAAUAGGCAGCCCCAAUCAACAUGGGGCAACCAAGCUUCAUCCCCCUCAAGGAUUCCAGUGCCAGUGACCCCAAUGGCAACUGGGAAUACACACUUGUUCCAAGAUCUGACAUCUCCCAUCGCAGUAUUUAGCACCUGCUCACAAAGUAAAGGGACCCCUCAAAGCAGAGAGCACCUUGGGGUAAGCUUGGGACAAAACACCAACAGUGCCCCUAGCCAAAGCAUCACCAUGGCACCCAAGAAACACAUGACAAAGAGCAAGCAGGGGCAAGGAAACAUGCGUGUUUCUACCCUGAGUGCCAUCCCCAAAAACCUGAACAUAGAAACCCCUAUGCUUACCUCAGGGGACAAGCACCACCCCCAGAAAGGCUACCUCUAGUUGCUCAUCUGUGCCUGAGAUAUCAAUGGGUUCUGGGAGCCCUGACUUUUUCCCAAAUCUAAUAUCUCACCCUAGGUCCAUGUGCAUCUCCUCCCAAAGAGGAGGGACUCCAAGCAGCAGAAAGCCACAUGGGGCAAGCUUGGGACAGAACACCUCCAUUGUCCCUUAAGCAAAGCACCACAAUAAGGACCAAGGGACAUGAGUCAAAAUGAAAACUAGGGUUACCAACCACUGGUUUUCCUACAGUUGCUGCCUUCUCUCAAACCUGACCAUGCAGGACCCCUUAAGCUUUUUUGGAGGAACCAACACCAGCUCUAGAAAGGCCACCUGUAUUUGUAAGUCAGUCUGUUUACCAUCAAUGGGAACGGGGAGCCCAGACUUCUCCCCAGGUUUGACAUCUCUCAUGGAAGAAAUGAGCAUCUGCUCAAAAAGUAGAGAGAACCUAGAAAAUAGAGAGUACUACAGGGACAGAACACCUUCAGUGGCCAUAGCAGAGCACCACAAUGGGGACCAAGGAACAAAAGUCAAAGUGUAAACCAGGGCAAGAAAUGAUGGGUGUUCCUACCCCGAGUGCCAUCCCCCAGAGCCUGCUCACACAUAAACCCUUAAGCUCACCUCAGGGACCAGCAAAUACCCCCAGAAAUGUUAUCUCUAGUUGUUCAUCUGUCCUUGUGACAUGAAUGGGAUAUAGAAGCCCAGACUUGCUCCCAGAUCUCAUAUCUGCCUUUGAGGUCAUAUACAUCUCUUCCCAAAAAGGUCUGACCCCAAGCAACAGACAUCCACAUGAGGCAAACUUAGGACAAAACACCUCAAUGAGCACCUCGAUGGGACCAAGGGACAUGAGGCAAAGCACAAGCCAGGGAAAGCAAUCACUGUUUUUAUACAGUUGCUAGCAUCACCCAAAGCCUGCCCACACAGAAACAAUUAAACUCUCCUGAGAGAAUCAGCACCACACAGAGAAAGGCCACAUCUAGUUGUCUAUGCCUGUGCUAUCAAUGAGAUCUGAAAGCCCACACAAGCUCCCAGAUCUCAUGUCUGCCUUUGGGCCAUGUACAUUUCCUCCCAAAGAGGAGAAAUGCAAAGCACCAUACAGCACUAAGGAUCUACCUAGGGCCUCAAUGCCUGCAGCCUCACUAACUAGAUCACCCCCAUGGUGACCACCUUACACAGGACAAGGAAAAACUGUUGGAUCCAUGGGGGCCACUUAUUUAGUGCUAAAAGUCUCCCCCUUGCAGAAACCCCCAAGUCCACCUCGGUUACCAAUAGCACCACGAGCAAGACUGCAUAUAUCUACAUGAAAUACUGGCCUCUUACCCUGGAAGCUAUGCCUCUCAUGGGUACAUAGUGAAUAGUAACCUGGCAUUUAGGCCCCCAUCUUUAUCUGGCCAGGGCUUUCCUGGAAAGAGGAGCACUGGAGGCAUGCCCCAGAUCCUCCUCUUCCAGAUCGGGACCCACUCCUGUGGGGUCUAGGAAGAAAAUGUUACCCUAAGCAAACAUCUACCUUCUCCCUUGCAGGACCUAGUGUGAGCCCUGUUUAGAUUCAUCCCACAGAUCUUGCCCUGACCUCUGCGAUCCUGUGAAAUUGGAGGCUCAGAGAGAUGGAAUCUCAUUCCCAUCCACUUCCUAGGCAGCUUUGCCCCCAAAGCAGGACCAAAUUCUCAUGACAGAGAAAAAACUCAGUUCCCAAUGUAGUGAAUGCUGAAUUUGACCAAAUUCUAGAAGAAAAAUAACACCAAUAGUCUCCAAACUAUUCCAUAAUGUAGAAGUGCAAGGUACUGGACUGCACUCCAUCUCCAAAUCCACUGGGACCCUGAUUCAAACGCUGACCAGGAUAGAACGAAAAACAACUAUGAGUGGAACAAUGUGUAUUGAAUGCCAUUUGCUUGAUCAGGGAAAGUGAAUGUUGGCAGAUUUAGGGCACCAGACAGUGAGAAUAAUUUGAAGGUACAAAGAGGACGUGAGCUUUCGGGAGAUCUCUGUUGUCCUUAUUAACUGUGGUCAAUGCUGAGCCCAUGCUAUCAGGAAGCUCCAUGGGAAAAAUGUUCAUUGACUGCUCUGCCUAUAGCUCUGAAUCUAUGAGCAAGCAAAAGAUGACCACCUGCUAGAACAUUACAUGUAGUAGGUAAGUGCUACACCCAACAGACAUGGGUAACUGAAUGACUACCUUAGAGCUCAAAUUUUGUUUCAAAGUUCAGGAAAUUUGAAUGAAAUGACAUGCUUCAAUCUUUUACACUUUGACAAAAUCAGGACAUUUCUCAUGGUGCAAAGGCAUCAGGUACAAAAAGAGAGGCUUCUGAUGGAUGACACCAGAGAAGUCCACUAAGAAGAUAAAAUAAUGGAAACUGCUUUAAACCCUGAUACUCCCCAGAACCCAACAGACUUCCACUCCCCUCAGCUGGGCCUCAGCCAGCCCUGCCUCAACUCCAUGGGGCAGCUGGGUAUCCUAUUGCCUCCAACAUAGAUAGGAUAGUGUGUCUGGCAUGCUCUGACCCUUGAAGGCGUGUUAUGGCACUCAAUUUGGACAGAACACCCACCGCAGUGUGGCAAGGCCAUCCCUGCUAAGACAACAGCCCAUGGGAGCAAUCCUAAGGUCAGCCACUUUCUGUCUCACAACCUGUAUCCACUCUCUUACUCUGGUCUGCCACAUAAAAAGAAUAUGAACUUUCUUAACCAUCACAAACCUAAGGAAUGAGGGAACCCUUUUGGAGCAUCUUUGCCUCCUUCUGGGCCAUGUAUAUCUCACAAACUUCAGACCAGAGUCAUCUCUGCUUUAAUAAGCAUAAUGGAGGCUCUCAUUCUUCACCAGACUGACAACCCAAAUACUCCCCAAUCCAGCAGGAGCUUCCCACAAGACUCAAGCCUAACCAGACAGUGACUGUUACAGGCACAGCAGGAAAGUCCCAGGAGCAGGCUCUCCUGCAUCCCUUGAAUGCCACAUAGGAGAACUGUAUUGCACUCACCACUGUCUCCAUACCCCACAACACCUCAUUCCACUCCUGGGCAUGUUGUUCUGCUCAUAGUUGUUUUCAUUCUAUCUUGGUCAGUGUUUGAAUGAGAGUUUCACUGGACUUGGAGAUGGAGUGUAGUCAAGUAUCUUGUACUUAUACACUAUGGAAUAGUUCAGGGAGCACUGUUGUUAUUGUUUCUUCUAGAAUUUGGUCAAAUUCAGCAUUGAGUACAUUGGGAACUGAGCUUUUCUCUGUCAUAAGUAUUUGGUCCUGCUGCAAUCUCCAUACUUGUUACUCAUAUUAUUUGAAAGUUUAUAUCUUCUUGAUUCAAUUUAGGUCCCUAAAUUUGCCUGUUUCUCCUAAAUUUUCUGACAUACUGGAAUAUUAUUGCUCAAAAUAUGCUCUAAUGACCCGUUGAAUUUCCUUGGAAUUUGUCAUAAGAACUCCAUUUUCAAGUCUCAUUUUAUUGAUAUGGGUCUAAUCUCUUUAUUGUUAACUUAUUUAGAGGUUUACCAACUUUGAUUUAUGCUUGCAAUGAAGUACUGUUUGGUCUCUUGAAAUUUGGUGGUGCUCCUCUGUUUUCUAUUUCAUUUAUUUCUGCCCUGAACUUCAUUAUUUUGUUCCUUCUACUGAUUUAAUGCUUGGUUUGUUUUUGUAUUUCUUAGACAUAAUCAGACAAUUUACUUGAAGUCACUUUCUUUUACCUCCUAGGUACAGGUUCCUGCAAACUUUCCUCUUUGUAGUGUUAUUUCUGGAUCCCACAGGUCCUGAUAGAUUGUGAUUCCUUAUUCUUCUGAUUCCAGUGAUUUUUAAAUUGUUUGAUGGUGUGUUGCAAAAUCUUCAAGCAUUUUUGAGGUUUCCUUUCUUCCUUCUUCCUUCUUUCCUUCCUUCCUUCCUUCCUUCCUUCCUUCCUUCCUUUCUUUCUUUCUUUCUUUCUUUCUUUCUUUCUUUCUUUCUUUCUUUCUUUCUUUCGUGGUGCUGGGUUUUUUGAGGUUUCUGUAAGUUCUCCUGCUCUUGAAAUUAUUUUCACUGUCUUGGAAAAAGAAGUUAGCCUUUCAAUUCCAACUCUUUUCUGUAGUUAGUGCUCUGCAGAAAAGUUCUUAGCUCUUCCCUUUUUUUAAUGUUCAGCUUUACAACUUGGUACAAUUCCUCUCUUUAAGCACCAGUGCACUGUAGAGAUGACAUUAUGAGUUUGAAAAGUGUGCUCAUCAGGUCACUAUCAGGAACCUGUUUCAUCUACCACAUUAACUUUUUUUGGAACAUUUUUGUGACCAGGGCUGUGAAACUCACCUGAAAUCUAUAUCCUCCAGGGGCUGCUGAAGGAUCUUGGCAUUUUCAAAGAUGGUUUCUAUGUCUGAGAGGCACAAAGUCAGGCCCAGGGAAUGAAGCAUUAUGUUAAGCCAGAUUGGCCAGAUAUUUCAGCAUGUAAAAGUGAGUUGAAGGGAAGGUUGGAAAAUGAGGCAAAAGAAAUAUCUGGGCCAAACAUUGGUGCAGGGCAGCAGGAACUGCAGUGGGGCUUGGCUGGUGCAGUCGGUGCCCAGAACAGGGAUGCUCACUUGCUAGCUUGCUCCUCCCCACCACACACACACACACACACACACACACACACACACACACUCACACAUUGAGUGACUCACUCCUUCCUGCCCUCAUUAGGGAGCACAGCUACCAUCCACCUCUUGUUAGAGGUCAUACUUCACAGGUUCCAGCUGUCACCUGUAUUAGCUUGCUAUGAAUGAAGGGGCAGCCCCCAAAGUCUGCACAUUGUUUCUAAACUCAAUCAUCACAUAACCCAACCCAGCUGCAUUAGAUGCUCCACUCCCCUCAGAUGUCAAUAGCCGCCACUUCAUGUGGCUGGUAGGGCCCGAGGACAUAUCCCUGACUGGGCAAUAUAUCAAGUGAUAAUGUAUUUGAGGUGUCCCUGGAGGAGCCGGGCUGGAGGGCAUUGCCCCCGGCGCCGCACUAUGCUGGGUGAUCAUUACGACCUCACCCUCUGUCUCUCCAGGGACCACCCGACCUCGCGGGAAGCCUGAUUGCCUGCAGCUGGAGGUGGGUAUCCAAGUGGGCAGCCUGCCCAAUGCGGCCAAACUUGGACUGCGCCUCCUAGAGGCCCUGGAGUGUAGUGCAGGCAGGCAGGCUUUGAGGGGAGUGUUGGGCAGGUGGUGUGUUUGUGUUGGCGGGGGUGGUCCUGGGCCCUGGAAGGAACCUGAUUGCCCGUAUGCAAGAUGGGCCAUGUCCUCAACAGACUCUCACUCCACUUCCAGUGGGUGAAGAUGUUGGCAUCACCUUUUUUGACAAUAAUAUGCCAGUGGGGCUUGGUCCAUUUGUCUUCCCUUGUAUCAUCACAGUUGAGCUGGUGUUUGCCCUGAAUACUUGUCUGAAGAGGCCAGGAUCAGAAGAGUGUCUGGUUGCUUGGGGGAAUGGUGACAUAACAGUGCUGUCAGUCCUCUUGUUGGUGAUAUUAGGAGAGUGGCAAGGAUGUCACAGAAGUCACUAAUUGGAACCCAUGGUGCCCAAGGCCCAGAAACACCAACUGGGGACAGAAAGGAAGUGCAAUCUCCUACAAGAGCCUGGAGUCUCCAUGCCUAGAAUCCCAAGUUCCUGAAUGCCAGCCUGUUCCAUUUUGAAAGUCUAUGGUGAAACUUGCUUUGUGGUCAUUUCACAGGAGCAUUGUUAACCAAGUUAGGUAUUUCACUGAGAAGCAUCAAAACAAGAGUUACAAGAUUUUGAUCAUAAGAUAAUAGCAGGAAGUUCAACAGAAGUAACUUGCUGGUAUCUAAUCUCAGGGCCAUGAUUCCUGAAAGGAACUUCUAUAAAAAGGACCAUCAGGAGGGCUGAAAAUUUCAUGAGUCUCCCCCCUCUCCCCCAGCACAUAUUGAACCUAGCAGCAUGUAUCCACUGAGCCAUAUCCUGUGUCCUUUGUAUAUUUAUAUUUUCAGACAAGAUCCAGCUAAGUUGCUUAGGGCCUCCCUAAUUUGUUGAGGCUGGCUUUGAACAUGAGAGCCACCUGCCUCAGCCUCCCCAGUCCUGAGAUGACAGGCCUGAGCUAGCACCUCCUGCCCUGGGUCUUUAAUUUUGGCCACAUGUCUGCUGGUUAGUAUUUUUGUUAAGGAACAUUAAGGAGGAGGGAGAGUGGGUCAUAAAAAUUUCUUGUUGUUGUAAAGGCUGGGGGUUUGGGUUUGAAUUAACCCAACAUGUUGCUAAAUAAUAAUGAUCUGAGAAUUUAAUGUAUUUGAGGUGUCCCUGCCUCUCCUUGCACCCUAGGCCAUGGUAGAUCACUGAGAAUUUUUUAUGGUCAGAGUUCAGCCACAAUCCUUUUCUUGCUUACAAAAUUGGGAUCAAUCACUCUCAUGACACACCAGAACACUGAAAUUCUGGACAGGCAACUCAAGCUUCUGGAAGUAUUGCUUUCAAAUAUGAAAGUAAUAAUCAUUAGAAAGUGAUUUUUUCUGUCUUUAGAAAGUUAUGGUUGCCCUGCAAAGCUCUCCACAGAGGUCAGACUGGAAGGGGAUCAAUUAAGCAUUUAAAACAUUCACAGCAUUAUGCCAACACUUCCUCUAUGCAGUUGGAAAAUAUUUCCUUAACUCCACAUUAACCCUGUGGCUACAAUUAGUCCCCCCUCAUGUGCUCACUCCUAGUGACCUCUCACCUAUGUCUGUUUCUCUGGAUUUCCCAAUUUUUUAUAUUUCGCAUAAAUGGAGUCAUGCAAUAGGUGACCUUGUGUGACUGCUUUAUUUCAUUUACAGAAUGUUUUCAAGGUUUAUCUUGUCAUAGGACACAUUAGUACUUCCUUCAUAUUCAAGGAUGAGUAAUAUUACAUUGUUUGGAUAUAUCACACUGGUUUAUUUGCUUUGGGACUUUUGAGUUAUUUCCACUUUUUACAGUGAACAUUUGUGAAAAAGAAUUUUUUUUGGGGGGGAUAGUUCCUAUAUUUGAUUAUUUGGGAUACAUAACAAGGAAUGGAAUAUCUGGGUUAUUUGAUAAUUUUUUACUUAACUUUUGAUGGACUUCUAGACUUCCUUACUGUUUGUGCAGAAAUUGAUAAUGUGUUUAAAUGGCACAUGAUGCCUUCUGAAGUCUUCUGGCUAGUGUUGUUUCAGGUCUUAUAUGAGUGAAAGCACUUCUAGCCUUGAAAUGUGCCCUAACUGUUCAGCAAUGAAACUGUGGAUGGAUUGUAGAGGAGAGUUGGUGCAGCAUAGGACAGGGAUAGAAACCAAGAAUCAUCCACCUAUCCAUUCACUAUUUCAUUCAUUCACUAACUCAUUCAGAAAAUAUCUACCAUUCACGUACCCUGUGCCAGUCUGUGUGCUGGACGUAGGAAGAGGUACAUACGAUAAACAUUAUUCCUCAAGAGGCUGAUUUUGUGGGUAGUAAAAACAGACCUAUAAAAUAACAAUCAAGUGCUGGGGAUAUAGAUCAGUUGGUAGAGUGCUUGCCUUGCAUGCACAAGGCCCUGGGUUCCAUUCCCAGCACCACAAAAAAUAAAUAAAUAAAAAUAAGGCCCUCAACCUGGAAUCCCAGUUCCUCAGGAGGCUGAGGCAGAAGGAUAACAAAAAUAAUUUCUCAGAAGGUAAAGAAAGGAGCAGUAAGGCUGGAGUUGUGGUUCAGUGGUAUAGCACUCACCUAGCGUGUGUGGGGUCCUGGGUUCAAGCCUCAGCACCAUGUAAUAAUAAAUAAAUAAAUAAAAUAAUAAGAUUGAGCCUGAAGAGAUCAAGUGAAUUUCCCGGUGUUAUUCAGUGAAUGAAAUACCAUCAAGGUUACAAGAAUUAGGGACUGGGUUAUUUUCUUUGCUCCUUCUCCUCCUUUUGUGGGGCAUCAGGGUGAGGAUUCUAGAAUACCUGGAAGGAUCUGCCUCUGCUGGUUGGCUGAUCAUCAUUCCAAAAUCUUAAUGCCCAUGCUGAAUGGGAACUGGAGCAGAGGCUAAUUCAUUAGGGAGUUGGGGUUCUGAUCAAGGUGCUGGUUUCCAGGAAGAAGAGUGGAGGGGAGGAGAAAAGAAUUAAGAGCAGGAGGCCCAUGUCUGUCUCAACUCACACAUUGAAUACACUCACUGUGCUGCCCAUUGUUCAGAGAAGGAACAAGUGGGGUGCACACUCUGCUUUUGUUGUUGUCACAACUUAUGCUGUACCAUUGUAACAAUCCUCAAAGGACAAUUCUGAAAAGACCCCUGCUCCCUGCCAUGCCAAUGCCCCUGUGAAGCAUUAAACAAUAUUUUGCCCUUAAAAUGAUUCUCAUUCAGACACAACCUCCUUGCACAAGAAGACAGGAUGGAUGUGGGGUUGCCUCACAUUGGAGCCUGUGACACUGCUGACUCACAGGGAAAGCACAGGAGAGAUACCAAAGAUGUAUUAGGGAAUGUGGAAGUAGAGUUCAUUACCACUAUCUGAUGUAAUUGACUGGUGGCCACAAACUUGCAAGGACUCACACAGCACAGGGAAAUGCUUAGGGGUGAAGGCUGUGGGAACAGGAGGAUGGGCUUUGAGUGUGGACUCCACACAGGAGCCACUGACCUUCAAUUCUUCAGCUUCCUCAGUUUUGUUAGCUAUAAAUUGAGAUAUAGAGUGCUACUCUUAGGGUUGGUGUUGCUUAUUCGCAAUGGUCUAUAGAAAUGCUUGCAAUUUUUUUUAAAAGAAAUAAAAAAGAAAACAUACAUGUAAAGGUGGAGAACAACCAUCCUAAUCCAAUAUAGACAUUUUCUGGUUGGGUAUUAUGGCACAGAGAGGUUGAAUGACUCGUAUGUGGCCACACAGGAAGGAGUAAGGUGGUUUAAGACAAAGGGUUGCUUUAGAGCCAUUUCUAAAAGAUCUUGGGUUUUUUGUUUGUUUGUUUGUUUGUUUUUUUGUUUUGUUUUGUUUUUGUUUUUGUUUUUCCGUAGUAAAACAGAGUUUUCCGGAAGAUAUACUCAUGAAAGCUGAGCUGGUCCAUGAACAGCCUGACUCAGGCUGGGGCAUUAUUACUCCUGUUGCAUGGUGAAGACUGUAGGGACUCUUAUGACCCACUUGAGUGUCAGCCCUGUGUGGGAUACUUGACCAUCACUGUCUUAUCUCAUUUCAUCUUCACAGCACCCUCUCCUAUAUUCCUGCUAUGUGUUUUUUUUCUGAUUCCCUUGUGCCUAGAACACAGUAGGUCCUCAGCAAAUAUCAGUUGGCAGAACAUUCCAGAAUCCAGGAGCCCAGGGUCCAGGACCGACACUGAGGCCCAAGGGGAGAGUGGAGUCCAGAGUUGUGCAGCUGCUCUUAGGUCUGUUCAACUCUAGAGAAGAUUUUAGUGAAACCCCUCAGAUCAGCAGUUCAGACCCCAGGCCUAGGCAACACUGGGAUUUUCCUCCCAUUGGGCAAGAGCUUAAGCAGACAGGGAAAGGACCUCAGGGUAGACAGGUUUUGACCCAAAGCAGUGAAUACAAAGUAAAAUUUUCAUAAUCUGCUUGAAUCAAAUAUAUGAAAUACAUUUACCAAGAGCUUUGUAAUGUUUUGAACAACUAAUAAUAAAAAAAUAAUAAAAUAAAAAAUUUCUCCUCUUUGGUUUGUCUGGGGCAAGCACAUUCUAGGAUGCAUAGUUUGUGAGUCUCUGGCUCUGGGGCCUGCUUGGAUGGGUUUAUAGAGAAGCCCAAGAGACCACCUCUGGAUUUUUUUGCUCCAGAGCCUUGAGGACAUGCUUCUGUGUUAUUCUCUUUCUUCUUCUCUGUGGAGGGAUGUGCAGGCCAAGCAGGAGUCCUGAGAAACUGUCAGAACAGGAAAUGUCUGUAGGGGAGCAAGGGAUAGGAGGGGACAACUGUUAGUCAGAGGAAGAAAUGGCCUUUGGAGGGAAAAACAAUGUUUAUGACAUUCAGAGUGUAAACUCAUCUGCUAUUUUUCCUCCACCCAUACCUCAGUUCACCAAUUCAGACACAUACCACUCCCCACACCCUUAUCCAUCCAUCUACCUACCCAACCACUAUCCCCUCACCUGUCCUCCUAUCCAUCCCUAGAUCCACCCUUUCAUUUCCAUCCACCAAUCUUCCCAGCCAUAUACCCACUUCUCAUUCACUCAUCCACCCAUGCAUCCAUGUGUCUGUCUAUCUGCCCAUCUAUCCAUCCAUAAGUCUAUCCAUCUGUUCAUCAAUUCAUUCAUCCAUCAGUCCAUCUGCCCAUCCAUCCUUCCAUCUACCCAUCCAUCCACCCAUCCACUCAUUCACCCAUCCUUCCUUCCAUCCAUCAGUUUAUACAUCCAUCAAUCUCUCCAUCCAUUCAUCAAUCCAUCCUUCUAUUCAUCCUUGUGACCAUCAGUCCAUUCAUCCAUCUGUCCAUCUAUUCAUCAAUCCAUCCACUCAUCCAUCCAUCCAUCCAUCAUCCUUUUUCCUUCCAUCAAUCUGUCUAUCCAUCCAUCCAUCCAUCCAUCCAUCCAUCCAUCCAUAGAUAAAUCCAUCCUUCCAUCCAUCAGUUCAUCUAUCCAUCCAUCAAUCCAUCCAUCCACUGAUCCUUUCUUCCUUCCACCCAUCAUUCUAUCCAAUCAUCCAACCAUCCUUCUAUCCAUAAAUUCGUGCAUCUAUCCAUCAGCCAUCUGUCCAUUCACCCUUUCAUUCAUCCAGUCAUCCAAUUUCCCAUUAAGUCAUUCACCUUCUUUCCUCCCAUUCAUCCACCCACCAUGUCAUACCCCAUCCAUUCUUCCAGUACACCCCAGGGGUUUGCCAAUAUGACCACUGGCCUGGCUUUUUCAUUUUACAGAUGAGUGAUCCUCUAUCACAGGAGAAAUGACAGAGAACUCAGCUUUUGAAGGCAGAGUAGCCAGGUUCACAUUCAGGAUCUCCCAUUGGCUGGCUAGCCUCAGGUGGUGACAAAUGCCUCUGAGCUUUUCAUGCUCUUCAUAAGAAUGAUUCGUCUCAGUACCUGUGGUGAGGAGGAAAUGACAGGCUAUUAUACAGUGCUCAUUACUGUGGUAUGGCCUGAGGCAUCAUCUGCUGAGUACCUACUGUAUGCCAAGGGUGAUUUGCAUGUGCUCCCCUAGGUCUGAUGGGACUAUCCCCAUUCUACAGAGGAAGAUAUUGAGUCUCUGAGAGGUCAAGUGAAGGGACAGAGCCCAGGCCCCAAACCAGAGUAGUGGGACUCCAAAUUCCACUUUUCUACCACUUUGCCACUUUGAUUCUGGGUUCUGACCUACCACAAGCACACAAUGGGGCCCCAGGAUACUCCAAACCUUAGUCUCCCCAUAUGCACUAAGACUGCAUGGUUUCUACAGCUGCAGGCAGAAAAAGAGAGGAGAACAAAAGCCAGGGGUCACCACUGCCCUUUGUGAGCCCUGAUCAUUUACUCAUUCAACAAAUACAAUAUGCCCUGACACCUACUACUACAUGCCUGCCUGGAAUGCAGCAGUGUGAACACAGAGGUGACUGAGAGGGACAAAGAUUUCCAUUCUCUGAGGAGGAAAUUCAAUAGCCAAGUCCACAAAUUUGUGAACAACUUAUUUUCAUAGAUAGGAUGGUGAAAACACUUCUAUGGAGAAGUCCUUAGCAGGUGAGAAUGGUGUGCCUGUACAGGAGGGAGGAGGGGGCAGCACUCCAGGAGGACAUACUGCUUGAUCCCAGCACUAACCCAACCAUGAGAUGAGUCUUCCUGCCAAGGUCUGCAGGGGACAGAGUGCCAGGCAAAGGGAGCAACAAGUUCCAAGGCCUGGUGAUGGAAUCAGCCUGCUGGGGACAUGAAAUUGGGGUCAGGGACCUUGCCAUCAUCUGCUGGGGACAUCUUCACAUGGCUUCUGUCACAUCACAUUGAUUCCAUUAAUUAAUUACAAUGACAUCUUUUCUUCUAUCUGGGAGAGCCAGAGCCUGCUGACUCCUUCUUAUAAUUCUUUUUCAUUCUUACAAUCUGCUUUAAAACCUAUUCCCACAUCCCAAGGCCUCUGUGAACCAGGUAUAUUUCUCCAAAUGCCAAAAAAUAAAUACAGUAAAUUCACAUGCUUUCAGGGAUAUUUAUGGACCAGUCUGUGAGGGAAAUGGGCUGGUUGCCUUGGAGGCCAAGCUGACGGAGCUUGCGAGGUAAUUAGUUGCUGAGUUAUGGGGCCACUUGAAGCCUAAUUACCGAGAGAUCUGAGGUGCUUGCCUCAUUAGGGCCCAGAUUUCCAUGGCACUGCAAAGACUCAUUGGGUAAGCAUCCUCUGUGAGGUACAGACUGGAGGGAGGCUGCUGGGUCUCUGAGGGGACUUGGAGGUAAUGGCCAGAGGGUCAGUGAGCAUGGGGUAUGCUGGGUUGAAGGCUGUGCAGGGUGACAUUGCCUCCUCUAGGACAUCCAAUUCUUUCCUUCCUUCCUUCCUUCCUUCCUUCCUUCCUUCCUUCCUUCCUUCCUUCCUUCCCUCCUUCCUUGUUUUCUUUCUUUCUUUCUUCCUUCCUCCCUCCCUCCCUUUCUUCCUUUCUUCCUUCCUUCUCCCUCUCUCCCUCCCUCUCUUUCAUUUUGGUUCUGGAGAUUGAACCCAGGUGUGCUUAACCUCCUUCUCACCUCCCUAGUUAUAUUUAUUUAUUUAUCUAUCUAUUUAGAGACAGGGUUUCAGUAAGUUGCUUAGCCUCACUAAAUUGCUGAGGCUGGACAUGAACUUGUCAUCUCCUUGCCUUAGCUGCCUAAGCAGUUGGGACUACAGGCAUGCACCACCAUGCCUGGUGGCUCAUUUAGUAUUUCUUUGGUGGAUCCUGCAGCACUUUCUGAGGAUCUGGUUCUAUCUUGUUCCUCUGGCUGGAGAUUGUCUCAUUUAUAAAUGUUCCUUAGCAUAUGAUGGGGUCAUGUCCCCAUCAACCCAUUGUAAAUCAAAAAUCACACUUUUGGAAAAUGCAUGAAGAUCCAGCAGCACAGGUGCUCUAGGGAGUUGCCUGCCUCCCCACAUGAUCCUGGGGCUUUCUGGCAGCAGCAGCUCACCACUGCUACCCUGCCUCAUGGCAUGGCAUGGUACUGCAUGUCACCAGCCAAGGAAAAGAUCACAACUCAAAGUUGUCAGUACAGUUCUACUCAAUGCCUGUCACUUUUACACCAUUAUAAAGUCAAAAGAUCUAAGUUGGAUCCUUGAAAUUUAGGGCCAUGUGUUUACAUAUUUGUUCAUAAGUUUCCCCUCCUAUUUGUUUCACUCAUCCAUAUAUCCCUCUGUUUAUUCCACAAGGAGAUCUGGAACACUGAGCUGUGUCAGGGUUUGACAUAAAGGUUCAGGAGAUGAAGCUCUCUUCAUAGAGAGAGUGCUUGAUAAAUAGUAGGUACACAAUAUAUUUGUUGCAAUAACUCAAGAUCUCAAUAAGACUAUGUCCUGCUUAUCACUCACAUUUCAGGCUCUACAGGUGUGUACUGUGCACAUGGAUGUGUGUGUGGGUACAUGUAUAUGUACACAUGCAUGUGUGCUUGUGUGUGUGUGUGUGUGUGUGUGUGUGUGUGUGUGCAUGCUCUUGCAUGCACCCAAACUGAGGAUCUCCCAUGCAUCAAUAAGAGAGAUGCUCAGGAAAGAAAAUGUCCCAUGCAUGCUAUCAAACCUGUGGCCAGAACAGCUUUCACAGCAUGGAACAGUGACUGGAAUAUAAUAAGUGCUCAGUAAAUAAUUUGGGGUAUGACACAUAAAUGUGCUUUUACAGUGCAGGAGCUUUCACAUAGCUAGGACUAAAUGGAUGCUCAGCUAAAUGCGGGGACAAGAAGACCACAACAUGUGCUGCAACAGGAAAAGCCUUACCAGGCAGGUGGGGUCAAUGUGCAGCAGCAAGGUGGAGUUGCCCAUGAGGGACCUAGUGGUCAAGGGAUCUGCCUGGGUCAUGUUCUAAGAGGUCCUGGCUCUUGAACUUCAUGAGGGAGCAUGAAUAGAAGUCUGACAGCUGGUUCACAUGGGGAAGGGUCCAGCAGAGAGAACCAUCCCAUCAUUUAGGCAUAAUUAAUGGUGCUCAAGGUAAAUGUAGCUAGAUCGCUGAAGGGGACCAGGGCUGAGACAGGGACUCAAUCCCAAGAUUGCAUAACCUUGAAUGUCAGACUAGUAAUUAAGAUUUAUACCAGGGGCCCUGGAGAGAUGCUGCAAGACUCCCCUGUGCAAGUUAAGGACACAGUUGUAUGGGAAUUCCAGAGCAAUCUCUUCCUGAUUUUUGGAGAUGGUAUGGAAUAUGAUCAGUUGGCAGGCCAGGGAGGAGAUAGCAAGGGCUGAUCACAGCUAAGGACCCUGAGGACCCAGGAGCUGGGCUACCAAUGAGACCCCUGCAUGGCCAGAUUAUAUUUAGGAAGAUAAAACUUUCCUAACUCUAAAACCACAGGACUCAAGGACAGCCCCGUCCACCUGCUUCCAAACUGAACUAGCCAGAUUUUUUAAAAAUGGCAAUAGCAAUGUCUUUCCUUCUCUCUUCAAGGUGGUUAAUUAUCUUAAUUAUUUUUAUUAUCUUUUAAGAUCCUAAAUUGCUUAUUUCUGCUUCUCCUGCCAAAGGAGACCAAAAUCUGUUUUCUUGUGGUUGUUUUUUUGGUAUACGGAAUUGGACUCAUGAGUGCUCAACCACUAAGUCACACUCCCAGUCCUAUUUUGUAUUUUAUUUAGAGACAUAGUCUCACUGAGUUGCUGAGUGAAUCACUGUUGCUGAGGCUGACUUUCAACUUGUGAUCCUCCUACCUCAGUCUUCUGAGCCACUGUGAUUACAGGCGUGCACCAUCUCAACCAGAAGGCAACCACAAUCUUUUAUUCAUUACUGUGAAGUGAAGAUCACCAGAUGUAUAUUUUUUUCUGGUAAAAUUUAAAGGAAUUUAGAUUUAUACCCAAAUUCUUGUGAUCUUAAUUGUGUCAACAAGUGGAAAUUAAGUCAAGUGAGAUGUUGAUUGGCUGUGGGGGACACAGAGAUAAAUGCUCCAAAUCUGAAAAAUUCUUUUAUUUUUUUCUUGCUUCCUUUUCUCUUCUCUGAAUUCUUUUUUAAUUUUGGUCUGGGUAUUGACCCCAGGGGUUAUUAACCACAAUACACAUCACCAGCUCUUUAUAAAAAUGUUUCAUUUAGAGACAGGAAUAGUUAGGACCUCAGUAAGUUGCAGAAGCUUGCUUUGAACUCGUGAUCCUCUGCCUCAGUCUCCUGAACCUCUGUGAUUGCAGGUAUGCACCACGGUGCCUGGCUUCUCUGCAUUCUUUGUGUGAUGCAGGAAAGAACGUUUUAUUCCAGCUAAUCUUCACUUCAACUUGAGAGAGAAUUACAGGUCUGGAAAACUGUCCCAUUUACCCCAACAAAUAGAAAAGUGAUUUGGUUUGAUAUAAAUCCAUUCAUGGGGAACAUUUUCAGGUAAAGGGGGAAAAAUCAGCAGGAACCUGAAUCUUGGGAUAUUUGAAGCCAUGGGAUUUGGGUUCAGGCAGUGAAAGAUGCUCACAGGUUGAGCUGGAGGACAUGGUGUGUGGAAGGCCUGGGUGCCAAGGAGUGAUUUCUUGAGGAAAGUGGGCAGCCUGUGGGUAAGAUCUAGGUUUAGCAGAGAUGGCUCAAGGUUGGUGAGGCUGGAACAAGGCCAUGGUACUAUCCUGAAGCUUCUUGGGCCAAAUGUGUAGUGGUGUUUGAAGACAAUGUAGCUUUUAGAAAGGGGAUUGUUGCCAGAGCAUCCAUCUAUGGAGCUUACCUGGAAGCUGAGGCACAAGAUCCAAGUCAACUUAGUUUCAAAUGCUGGCUCUAACAAGUUUGAGUUUUGUGACUAAGGCACACACCAUAAGGUUCAGUGCUUUGUGGGAAGCCAUCCAUGAAAUGCAUGAAGAUCUUAUCUCAGCAUGGAAGCCAGGGAGAGAAAGGCCCGGCAUUGAGAACUUUCCAUGGCUCUCCCACAGCAAUAGAUUGCCCAAUCCACAUGAUCUUUCCUUCUGCUCUGCUAGGAAGGUUCCUCAGAGUAGCUCCAGUCAUGUGCAUAACCCACUAGAAACUGAACAACCGACCUUUAACCUUUUUUUGGAGAAUAUUCUAUAGAAUCUAUUUGGUAUAUCCUGAUAUAAAUGAAGCAGGCAUGGGCUCUAUUUAAUCCAGAAGCUUGAUCCACCUGAUUGCUUGCCCUUCUGGCCUCUGCCUUUGAAACUAUUUUCUGUGUUCUGUUUUUAUUGCUGUUUUAUUUCCAUUAGCCUUUAUUUCUUAGCCAGCCCAUUCCACCAAGGGGAACCCCAUUUCCACCACCUGAGCAGGACAUGGGUGGUAAUGCUUCAUUUCUCUACACUCUACAAUGGACAUGGUAAUCAUAGUACUCCCCUCUUGGAGCCUUUGUGAGGGAAAAAUAAAAUGAUGGCAGGUAUAUGAUGCUAUGAGAUCCCCAAUGUGGUGGGAAAAUAAAGCAGUUUCCUACUAAAAGUCACACAGCUUGCUGAAUGGAGACAAUGUCUUCAUCCCAGUGCUCCUUCUGAUUCUGUUUGGGAUCUAGGGGGAUCUAGGGAUCUGCACACUAAGGCUGGGUUGCUCAAGAUUCCCUGGGAAGAAGUGUGAGGGAGAACAAGAUGAACAGGGAAAGGUGUGAGUGUGUGUGUGUGUGUGUGUGUAUUGGCAGGGGAGGGCCCUCAUGCUUACUGAAAGGCAGGGAAAUUGUCUGUAAUUUUCUUUCCUGAAAAGCACCUGGGGAGGUGAAAGAAGGUGGCAUUAGGGCAGGACAGGUAAUCGAUUUUCAUCUGGGUGCAGACAGAAACGUCAAGCACAGCAGUGUUUGGAGAUGGAUCUUUGAGUUUUCCUGGGUCAGUGAGACUGCAGCCCAUGUUCCCACAGCAACACUCACCCAGCCUUGGCCUUCUCUGUUUCUGUACCUUUCUGUCUGCCUGUCCCCUUUCUUUCACCCCCCCACCCCCCCUCCCCCACAGAGCUCUCCUUGACUCCCUGCACCUUCCUCUCCCUGCAAACUCCUCCCUUCCUCUCUUUCCUUGGACCAGAAAAACACUGCAUUUGUAUCUCCAGGGGAGUGGGCAGCUGCCCAGUCUGGAGAUGGGAGGGAGCAGGGAGAGGGGAGCCUAGGCUGACAGGCUGUCUUAGAAGAGGAUUGGCAGGGGGGCAUCCUCCAGACCACAUAGCCUUCCAGUAAGAGCCCUGGAGGUUCCACUUGAAGACCUGCUUUCUGCGCAUGGACUCUGGGUGACUGGGGUGUAGGCAUGUGUGUAUUUGUGCAUAUGUGUCUCAUUAAAUGAUCUUAUUAAAAAUAAUUUUAGUUGCUUCUAGAAAAUUUAAGAAGUCACCAUGCUUGUCUUGUACUCUUUCCUCCUGGACAGGGCAGCUCUUGAAUUUGAAAAUUUGCAUCCUGGUCACCAAGAAAGUAUUUCUCCAGCCUUAGCCUUUUGAUUUGUAGUUGUUAUUAUACUCUGGUCUUUUUUUACUGUAGAAAGGAAAGAAUAUUCUAUUCUACUAAAAUGAAUGAUGUUAAAGUGGUAAGAUUAAUAAAUUUUUGCCACUAAUAUCAGUUUCAAUGUGCCCCAUCCUGGGACACACUCCACCUGUGUACUUAUUGAAGGCCAGACAAUGACAGUAAUAUCUAGCUGGAUUGGAAGUCAUUUUUAGAUUUUGAGGUAGGUCUUCAGAUUCUUCCCCUUGCUGCUGGCUGGAAGUUCACCUUCAGAGAUUUGACUGGUUAAGAUCCCCAAUGGAGCAAAGCAUGCCUCUUGGCACCCAAUGCUGGGGAAUCUUUGCUAGGAUUGCUCUAGUAGCCCCAGAAAUCAUAAGGGGUGGGUCCAGGGCUUGAACGACACUUGACCAGGCAGAAAGAUGAUAUGUAUAUCUACAAAUAUGCUAGGCAUAUCCUAUAUGUGCCAGACUGGACAGACAAACACUGACUCUGUCCUCAGGAGUCAGUGCCUGAAAAACCACAUGCUCUAAGUCAACCUGUGCUGGUUGGUUACAGGUAUUGUCUCAUUUGAUUGUCAGCCCAUUUCAUAGAAGAAGAGCCUGAAGUCAGAAAGGGGCAAAUCUUUGCCCAGGGCAUGUACACACUAGCUGGGGCUCCAAUCGUUAUUUAUAUGGUUCCAGUCAUGUAAGCCUUCCCUGAGGCUGCCUCUGGAAUGUUCUCUGUGAGGUGGGACCUGGAGAUGGUCCUGUUGCCCUUGAAUUCCUUCAGAUCUUCACAAUGUUUCCCUUCAUGAUGCUGUCUGAGUCCAUCGUCCCUGUUCUUAAUGGAAACCUUGGAGGACCAGUGCAUAUUUUUAGCUUUUGCCACACCAUGGGAUAAUGAGACUCAUAGGUUUACUUUCCACUGAGUAAAGUACUAGAACACUUUAAUUUUCCCCCAAAUGCUUUUGAGUUUCCCAGGAUAUGUAGGUGAGAGGAGAGAGGUUUAUCUGGCUUCUUACUCACCUGCCUCCCCAUCAGAUCCUCAGCCUCCCUGGGGAGGCACAGGGUUGCCCAGUGCACAUGGUCAGCCCCGUGUUGGAGCCAUGGACCUGAAUGCACCUUCUUCCUGCAUCCUGUGCAUGAGGCCUUUCACAAGAGACUUUAGUUGGCCAGGCCUCAAUUGCCCCUCCAUAUACGGGAACAAGGACCCCAGUUCUGUAGGACAUGGAGCACUCUAUUGAGGGACCAUGUGAAGUUUUGGAGGAGAAGGGGGCUUCCCUGUCCAUUUGGGCUUUGGUGUGACUGCAGUUCACUGAUAUGUGUAGGGGUCAAAGAUGGCUAGGGGAUAUUAUUAAUAGAUUCUGAGUUAUAAAUCCCAUAGGACAUCAACUUAACCCUUGGAUGAGGCCCCGAGUCUCCUACAUUCUGAAGAGGAAAAUCUCCCUGAGAACACUCUACCUAACUCUCUGCUUCCUUGUUUGGAAAAUGGGGGCAAUGCUCCAACCAACGCAUUACUGGUUCCAGUCAAUGGGAACUUCUAUAUUGUCCUCAGAUGCAGAUGGUCCUGUGGUUGAGUUGGUCAAGCUGGGGUGAAUUUUGCAAACUCAUUCCCUGGACUUGGCAUCUCUGAUGUGCCAGGCAAGGUGAUGGGCUGUGUGGGGGGAUUGUGGCUUCUACCUUUAGUGGACCCUCCUUAGGUGACUCUAAAGUCCAUACUGUGUGGCACUUGUCCUACCUCCACAGUCUCAGCCACACUGCCCCUUGGCUCCCCUGUGGAACUUUCUCAGCCUACUGGGGCCUCUACCAAUCAGAAAAGCUGAUUUAAUUAGUCUGGGGCAGGGACCAGCCAGCAGCACGUUUCAAAACUUCCCAGGUUGAGGUGCUCUCCACAGCAGUCUGAGUUGAGAAUCAACAGGCAGAAGAGCCAAGCACAUUCCAAAGCAGCUCAGUGGCAUGAAGUGAAGAAAUUGGGUCUUUGGUGGGAGAAUCUGGGGAACAAUCAGGACUGGCUUCCCAGAGGCAGUGAUGUUCUGCUCUGCCUAUAUGGGAAAAGCAUUCCAAGCAUAAGGAUCAGCAUGUGCAAAGUGUGCCAGUAGAUGUGCCUGGAUCAAGCUAGGAGAGGCAGGAGGGAGGGCAAUAGGCUGGAGAAGCAAGUUCACCAGCUCAGGAAAGAGGGAGAGUACAAGGCUACAGUGUAUGUAACUAUGACAUUGGAUGUACUCAGGUUAGAUUUUAGAGGUUCUGUUGGGGAGUCGCCCAUGGCAUCUUAGAAAGUCAUGGUGUGGCCAGUGUGCUUCCACCAGAAGCUGCCCCUAACCUGCAUCCUAGCCCCCAGAGAAAGCCCCAUCCUAUCUGAGAGCACAGGAGUACAUCAGACCUAGAAAGAAGAGGGAUCUGUACUCUGCCAUCUGUGUGAGGUCCCCUAUCCACAUUCGAGACUCAAAUCCUGCCCUCACCCAAAUGUAUCCAGACAUUUUGUAUCUGAAGAAGAGGACAGGAUCAACCCCAUGUAUUCAGAGUCCAUUGCCUGGUUUCUAAUUUCCCUAUUAAUUUCUUCUAAAUGUUUUUCAGGUUAUAUUUUCACUUCAAGACUAGUCCUCUUCUCAACAGACACUUUGCAAAAGUGGAAAUGUAAAUGGUUAACAAACACGUUGGGAGAAAGCCCAGCCAUGUGGAAAUCUGAGGAAAAAAAAAAAACUAAAGUACUGUUUUUAGGUCUUUUGGGUAUUGUUGAAGAGGAAUAGCUGGGUCAAAUGGUGGUUCCAUUCCCAGAUUUCCAAGGAAUCGCCAUACUGCUUUCCAAAUUGGCUGCACCAAUUUGCAGUCCUCGCCAGCACUUUUUGUUGUUUGACUUCAUAAUAGCUUCCAUUCUUACUGGAGUGAGAUGGUAUCUUAGAGUAGGGACACAGCCAUAUCAAUGUUCAUAGCAGCACAAUUCACAAUAGCUAGACUGUGGAGCCAACCUACAUGCCCUUCAAUAGAUGAAUAGAUAAAAAAUGUGGCAUUUAUACACAAUGGAAUAUUACUCAGCACAAAAAAAUUAACAAGAUCAUGGCAUUUGCAGGGAAAUGGAUGGCAUUAGAGUAGAUUAUGCUAAGUGAAGUUAGCCAAUCCUCCCAAAAACAAAUGCUGAAUGUCUUCUCUGAUAUAAUGUGGGUGACUCAAAAUGGGGUAGGGAGGAAGAGCAUGAGAGAAGAUUACCUCUAGAUAGGGAAGAGAUGUGAAAGGGAAAUGGAGGCAGAAGGGGAAAUGCAUGGAAGAAGGAAGGAGACCCUCAUCAUUAUACAAAAUAUAUGUAUGAUGAUGUGAUGGAAACAAAACAAAUUGCAUCACCUUAGAUUGGGUAGAGAGAAGUGAUGAGAGGGGAAGGGAGGGGAAGGGGGGAAUGGAAGGACAGCUGAAUAAAAUAGACAUUAUUAUUGCUGUGUGUAUAUACGUGACUGCAUGACCAAUGUGAUUCUGCAACCUGUGCACUCAGAAAAAUGAGAAAUUAUACCCCAUCUGAUUCAAAUGUAUGAUAUGUCAAGGUCAUUGUACUGUCAAGUGUAACUAAUUAAAACAAAUUUAAAAAAUAAAAAAAUAAAACAUUUCCAAGAAUAGAGGCUGCUAUACUGGGAAUUAGAAAGCCAAGGUUACUCCAACUUACCCCAAGUUUUGGAGUAAAUGGAUUACUAUAUGUGGGCUUCAGUUUUCACAUCUAUCUAGGGACUAUAUUAAAAAAAGCUUAAACAUACAAAAAUUAAUAAACAAACAAACAAACUACCAGUUUAAAACUUUAUGAACUUAAAAAAAAGAAAGAAAC